Molecule: long non-coding RNA, 266 nt
Organism: Oncorhynchus masou masou (cherry salmon)
Lineage: Eukaryota; Metazoa; Chordata; Actinopteri; Salmoniformes; Salmonidae
Exons: 3
Source: RefSeq, a predicted model, not a curated record
GCUGCACCACCAGUUCACAGCUGCACAGACACAGAACAGCGUUGGCACAAGCCAAGAACACUUUGGUGUGAAACCAGGUCUGGUUGAUGAGAUAGAGUUCCGUAAACCUACUAACCUACUUGUGCUGACGGAAUAAGAAGUUCUCUCUACAAAGCACUCAAUGGAUACAUGCCUGACAUGGACCUUCUCCUCGUCUCAGAAACGUAUGGCAACUUUUCUCCACUUACUGCCCCUCUUGUGACAACAAUGGAAAUGUCAGCUGCCGU